Molecule: ribosomal RNA, 496 nt
Filed under: uncultured bacterium
Lineage: Bacteria
Description: partial 16S ribosomal RNA
Rfam family: Bacterial small subunit ribosomal RNA
Source: RNAcentral
AUGAACGCUGGCGGCGUGCCUAAUACAUGCAAGUCGAGCGAACAGACGAGGAGCUUGCUCCUUUGACGUUAGCGGCGGACGGGUGAGUAACACGUGGAUAACCUACCUAUAAGACUGGGAUAACUUCGGGAAACCGGAGCUAAUACCGGAUAACAUGUUGAACCGCAUGGUUCAACAGUGAAAGACGGUCUUGCUGUCACUUAUAGAUGGAUCCGCGCCGCAUUAGCUAGUGGGUAAGGUAACGGCUUACCAAGGCAACGAUGCGUAGCCGACCUGAGAGGGUGAUCGGCCACACUGGAACUGAGACACGGUCCAGACUCCUACGGGAGGCAGCAGUAGGGAAUCUUCCGCAAUGGGCGAAAGCCUGACGGAGCAACGCCGCGUGAGUGAAGAAGGUCUUCGGAUCGUAAAACUCUGUUAUUAGGGAAGAACAAAUGUGUAAGUAACUAUGCACGUCUUGACGGUACCUAAUCAGAAAGCCACGGCUAACUACGUG